RNAcentral lists this ribosomal RNA (505 nucleotides) under uncultured bacterium. RNAcentral's name for it is "partial 16S ribosomal RNA". It matches the Rfam family "Bacterial small subunit ribosomal RNA", at positions 28 to 507 of the family's 1533-position model. The record is from RNAcentral.
GACGAACGCUGGCGGCGUGCCUAAUACAUGCAAGUAGAACGCACAGUUUAUACCGUAGCUUGCUACACCAUAAACUGUGAGUUGCGAACGGGUGAGUAACACGUAGGUAACCUGCCUGGUAGCGGGGGAUAACUAUUGGAAACGAUAGCUAAUACCUCAUAAUAUUAAUUAUUGCAUAAUAAUUGAUUGAAAGAUGCAAUUGCAUCACUACCAGCUGGACCUGCUUUGUAUUAGCUAGUAGGUGAGGUAACGGCUCAACUAGGCGAAGAUACAUAGCCGACCUGGGAGGGUGGUCCGCCCAACCUGGAAUGGGAACACGCCCCGACUUCUACCGGAGGCCGCAGUAGGGAAUCUUCGGCAAUGGACGAAAGUCUGAACGGGCCACGCCGGGUGAGUGAAGGAGGUUUUCGGAUCGUAAAGCCCUGUUUUAAGAGAAGAACGGGUGUGGGAGUGGAAAGUUCACAUUGUGACGGUAUCUUACCAGAAAGCGACGGCUAACUACGUG